Molecule: ribosomal RNA, 283 nt
Filed under: Odoribacter splanchnicus
Lineage: Bacteria; Pseudomonadati; Bacteroidota; Bacteroidia; Bacteroidales; Odoribacteraceae
Description: partial 16S ribosomal RNA
Rfam family: Bacterial small subunit ribosomal RNA
Source: RNAcentral
UCUGGUCCUUUUGUGCCCGCCGCCGCGGUAAUACGGAGGAUGCGAGCGUUAUCCGGAUUUCUUGGGUUUAAAGGGUGCGUAGGCGGUUUAUUAAGUUAGUGGUUAAAUAUUUGAGCUAAACUCAAUUGUGCCAUUAAUACUGGUAAACUGGAGUACAGACGAGGUAGGCGGAAUAAGUUAAGUAGCGGUGAAAUGCAUAGAUAUAACUUAGAACUCCGAUAGCGAAGGCAGCUUACCAGACUGUAACUGACGCUGAUGCACGAGAGCGUGGGUAGCGAACAGG